UACGUAGGGAGCAAGCGUUGUCCGGAAUCAUUGGGCGUAAAGCGCGCGUAGGUGGCCUCGUAAGUCCGCUGUGAAAGUCAAAGGCUCAACCUUUGAAAGCCGGUGGAUACUGUGAGGCUAGAGUACGGAAGAGGCGAGUGGAAUUCCGGGUGUAGUGGUGGAAUGCGUAGAGCUCCGGAGGAACACCAGUGGCGAAGGCGGCCGCCUGGGCCAGUCCUGACGCUGAGCCGCGAAAGCGUGGGGAGCGAUCCGG
RNAcentral lists this ribosomal RNA (253 nucleotides) under uncultured bacterium. RNAcentral's name for it is "partial 16S ribosomal RNA". It matches the Rfam family "Bacterial small subunit ribosomal RNA", at positions 524 to 776 of the family's 1533-position model. The record is from RNAcentral.